GCCUGCCAAGCCUCGACGAUCUGUGCUUCCGCCCCUUUAAGAAACAGUUCUCUGGCCCCUGAGCUAAGCAGGAUCGGAGGGGCUGGACGUGCAGGACUCAGAGGGGGAGCGAGGAGGGCUGGGGUGAGGACACCUUUGUCACACGCUGCUUUUCUGUCACUCAGCCCUGGAGGCUCCCUCUGCCUGAGGGCUCAGUCCCCUGCUGCCUGGUCCUGACCCGCAGGACAAGCACAGAUAAGGCUCAGGGAACAACAGCAAAAGGCAGGGCUGCCGUGGAAGCCUGUCCACCAAUCCUCACCUCUCACCUCUGUGUCCCGCCUACCGGGAAAUGUUCCAGGCUCUGGCCAAGUCCAGUGCAGACCCAGGUCCCCAAGCGGCAGGUUGGAUGCAGACCAUGGCCUCUCACAAGCUGCUGGUGCCCCCGCCCAAGGCCCUGCUCAAGCCCCUCUCCAUCCCCAAGCGGCUCCUGCUGGGGCCCGGUCCCUCCAACCUGGCUCCUCGCAUCAUGUCGGCCGGGGCAAUGCAGAUCAUCGGGCCGAUGGACAAGGAGAUGUACCAGAUCAUGGACGAGAUCAAGGAAGGCAUCCAGUACGUGUUCCAGACCAGGAACCCGCUCACACUGGUCAUCACUGGCUCCGGACACUGUGCCCUGGAGGCCGCCCUGGUCAAUGUGCUGGAGCCUGGGGAUUCCUUCCUGGUCGGGGUCAAUGGCAUUUGGGGGCAGCGAGCCAUGGAAGUCGGAGAGCGCAUGGGAGCCCGAGUGCACCCAAUGACCAAGGACCCUGGAGGCCACUACACACUGCAGGAGGUGGAGGAGGGCCUGGCCCAGCACAAGCCGGUGCUGCUGUUCUUGACCCACGGGGAGUCGUCCACCGGCGUGCUGCAGCCCCUUGACGGCUUCGGGGAACUCUGCCACAGGUACAAGUGCCUGCUCCUGGUGGAUUCGGUGGCAUCCCUGGGUGGGACCCCUCUUUACAUGGACCAGCAAGGCAUCGACAUCCUGUACUCGGGCUCCCAGAAGGUCCUGAACGCCCCUCCAGGCACCUCGUUCAUCUCCUUCAGUGACAAGGCCAAAAAGAAGAUGUACUCCCGCAAGACGAAGCCCUUCUCCUUCUACCUGGACAUCAAGUGGCUGGCCAACUUCUGGGGUUGUGACGACCAGCCCAGGAUGUACCAUCACACGAUCCCCGUCAUCAGCCUGUAUGGCCUGAGAGAGAGCCUGGCCCUCAUUGCGGAACAGGUGCAUAGGCUGCACUCCACAGGAGGAGACAGGGCCACUGGCUGGAUGGUUGAGGGCACGGCCUGCAGAGAAGGAACCAUUCCUGGUGCACAGAGAGAAGGGAGCCUGCCAGAGAGAGGCCCUCAGUGGGGAUGGGGGAGAGAGGACGGGCCCCGGGCGCACUGGCUGUGGGCAGGGCCGGGAGGACACAGCCCCAGGGACAGAUGCAGCAAUGGGGCAAGUGCGGACGCUCCCAACCGUUCCACUGCCAUGUGAAGCAGUAAGUGAGGCCCGGUGAGUGGCGGGCUGAGAGAAGGGGAUGCCGCCGAAGGGGCCAGAGACAUGCAGCCUGCAGAUAGGUGGGUGUGGAUGUAAAGUGAGGGACUGGAAGGUCCUGCAGGCUUGUCUUGUGUCCCACAGGGCCCUUUGCCAGCCACCUGUCCAGCAUCCAGGAAGGGUCCCCAGGCUGCAGUCAGCUUCCCGUGAGGUUGCAAGGCCGUGCCUGCCAUGUUAGUUCUCCUGGGUCCACUCAUAAAGCCACUGCCUAGGGCUGGGGCCUGGAGAACAGCUGGCGCCAGCACCGCGAGGCCACAGCGUAUCUGCACCGGCGCCUGCAGGCGCUGGGGCUGCAGCUCUUCGUGAAGGACCCGGCGCUCCGGCUGCCCACG
Piliocolobus tephrosceles (Ugandan red Colobus) is the source of this 1887-nucleotide RNA transcript. It is a transcript of the gene named alanine--glyoxylate aminotransferase, with no coding region annotated. Lineage: Eukaryota; Metazoa; Chordata; Mammalia; Primates; Cercopithecidae. The record is from RefSeq and is a predicted model, not a curated record. The transcript is spliced from 10 exons.